GAUGAACGCUGGCGGCGUGCUUAACACAUGCAAGUCGAACGGUGAAGCAGAGCUUUCUCUGUGGAUCAGUUGCGGACGGGUGAGUAAGACGUGAGCAACCUGCCCCUGUCUCUGGGAGAAGCGCUGUAAACGGCGCCUAGUACAUGAUAUGAGCUACGUCCACAUGGUCGGCACUUUGAAAGAUGUUUCUGUUUGGGAUGGGCUCACGGCCUAUCAGCUUGCUGGGGAGGUAUUGGCUCGCCAAGGCGUCGCCGGGUAGCCGGCCUGAGAGGGUGACCGGCCACCCUGGGACUGAGGCACGGACCAGACGCCUACGGGAGGCAACAGUGGGGAAUAUUGCGCAGUAGGGGAAAGCCUGAUGCAGCAGCGCCGCGUGAGGGAUGACGGCCUUCGGGUUGUAAACCUCUUUUAGCAGGGAAGAAGAGAACGUGACGGUACCUGCAGAAAAAGCGCCGGCUAACUACGUG
RNAcentral lists this ribosomal RNA (467 nucleotides) under uncultured bacterium. RNAcentral's name for it is "partial 16S ribosomal RNA". It matches the Rfam family "Bacterial small subunit ribosomal RNA", at positions 28 to 507 of the family's 1533-position model. The record is from RNAcentral.